This 506-nucleotide ribosomal RNA is filed under the name uncultured bacterium. RNAcentral's name for it is "bacterial SSU rRNA". It matches the Rfam family "Bacterial small subunit ribosomal RNA", at positions 19 to 518 of the family's 1533-position model. The record is from RNAcentral.
CUGGCUCAGGAUGAACGCUAGCGACAGGCUUAACACAUGCAAGUCGAGGGGCAGCAUAGAAGUAGCAAUACUUGGUGGCGACCGGCGCACGGGUGAGUAACGCGUAUGCAACCUACCUAUCAGAGGGGAAUAACCCGGCGAAAGUCGGACUAAUACCGCAUAAAACAGGGGCACCGCAUGGUGAUAUUUGUUAAAGAAAUUCGCUGAUAGAUGGGCAUGCGUUCCAUUAGGUAGUUGGUGAGGUAACGGCUCACCAAGCCGACGAUGGAUAGGGGAACUGAGAGGUUGGUCCCCCACACUGGUACUGAGACACGGACCAGACUCCUACGGGAGGCAGCAGUGAGGAAUAUUGGUCAAUGGGCGGGAGCCUGAACCAGCCAAGUCGCGUGAAGGAAGAAGGAUCUAUGGUUCGUAAACUUCUUUUGCAGGGGAAUAAAGUGCAGGACGUGUCCUGUUUUGUAUGUACCCUGAGAAUAAGGAUCGGCUAACUCCGUGCCAGCCGCUGC